Molecule: long non-coding RNA, 238 nt
Filed under: Homo sapiens (human)
Lineage: Eukaryota; Metazoa; Chordata; Mammalia; Primates; Hominidae
Description: HSALNT0057634
Source: RNAcentral
UUUUAAAAAGCAGCUAUAACUGCUUCAACUAAUAUAUCUCCAAAAAUAAUUCCCUAAUAUUAUCUAUAAUACCUAGCCCAUAUUCAGUUAACCCCGGUUAUUUAUAAGAUGACUUUUAAGAAGUAUGUGAGUCAUUAUAUUUAGCUGUAUGGCUCUUAGUCUUUUCAUAUCUAAAAUAAGCCAACUUAAAUAUUUUAAAAAUCGCUCUUAAAAAUAUCAAAGAAAUGUAGCCAGCACA